Molecule: ribosomal RNA, 1047 nt
Filed under: Triticum aestivum (bread wheat)
Lineage: Eukaryota; Viridiplantae; Streptophyta; Magnoliopsida; Poales; Poaceae
Description: partial small subunit ribosomal RNA
Source: RNAcentral
AUGAUGGAGAUGAUGAUUUAUAUGAAGACAACAUUGAUUUUGAUGUUUGAUGAAGAAGCUGAGCAAGUUGAGGAAGAGGUGGAGCCAGACUAUUUACUUGAGGAUGAAGAUCUAAACCUCUUUGUUGAAGGGCAAGAGCAACUGGAAUACAAGUUCAAAGCUUUCAAUUCCAAGGUGGACAUGAAAUCCCCUAUAUUUAACUUAGGGAUGGUAUUUGCUGAUGUGGUUGUGCUGAGGAAAGCCCUUACUGCUUAUUCUAUAAGGAAUAGAGUGCAAAUCAAGAAGGUCAAGAAUGAUAAGAUGAGAUUAGAGGCUGUCUGUCAGAGAGGUUGCCCAUGGCUGCUUAAAGCUAGCAAGGACAACAAGACUGGAGGAUUUGUCAUGAAGGCCUACUUUGGAGAGCAUGUCUAUCAGAAAAAGUGGAAGUUGAAGGAUUUGACAGCUAAGUUUCUUUGCCAGUUGUUCUUGGAUGAAUUUAGAGAUGACCAGAAGAUGUCACUUGGAACAUUUUCAAGGAAAAUUACUAAGGAAUUCAAUGUUACUCCUAACAGAUGGAAGCUUGCUAGGGCUAGAAAGGAAGCACUUAAUGAGAUUCAUGGUGAUGAGGAAGAGCAAUUCAGUAGGCUUUGGGACUAUGGACAAGAAUUGAGAACCAAAAACCCUGGGUCUACAUUUCUGCUCACAACUUCAGUGGUGAAAGAUACAAAAUUUCCAUUGGGCAGGAAAUGUUUGAAAACAUUGUACUGGUCAUAUGAUGCAUGUAAGAGAGGAUGGCUAAAGGGCUGCAGGCCAAUCAUUUUCGUUGACGGUUGUCACAUGAAAACAAGGUUCAAAGGAGUGCUACUUAGUGCUGUUGGUAUUGAUCCCAAUGACUGCAUAUUCCCAAUUGCAAUUGGAUGGGUGGAAGUUGAGUGCACAGGUUCAUGGGAGUGGUUUCUGACCACUCUCAGAGAUGAUCUCAACAUCACUAACACUGCCCCUUUCACAAUCAUGAGUGACAAACAGAAAGGUUUAAUAAAUGCAGUGCACAAAGUUUGGCCAGAUUAA